GAUGAACGCUAGCGGGAGGCUUAAUACAUGCAAGUCGAGCGGGAUUCUCCUUCGGGAGAUGAGAGCGGCGCACGGGUGAGUAACGCGUACGUAACCUGCCUUACAGAGGGGAAUAGCCCUGGGAAACUGGGAUUAAUACUCCAUAGUAUAUAGAUGGCGCAUGCUGUUUAUACUAAAGUUGAGGCGCUGUAAGAUGGGCGUGCGUGCUAUUAGCUAGUUGGUGAGGUAACGGCUCACCAAGGCUACGACGGGUAGCCGGCCUGAGAGGGUGACCGGCCACACUGGAACUGAGACACGGUCCAGACUCCUACGGGAGGCAGCAGUGGGGAAUAUUGCACAAUGGGCGCAAGCCUGAUGCAGCAACGCCGCGUGAGGGAUGAAGGCCUCGG
RNAcentral lists this ribosomal RNA (389 nucleotides) under uncultured bacterium. RNAcentral describes it as "bacterial SSU rRNA". It matches the Rfam family "Bacterial small subunit ribosomal RNA", at positions 28 to 420 of the family's 1533-position model. The record is from RNAcentral.